UUUGACCUACGGGAGGCAGCAGUGGGGAAUAUUGCACAAUGGGGGAAACCCUGAUGCAGCGACGCCGCGUGGGCGAGGAAGUACCUCGGUAUGUAAAGCCCUCUCAGCAGGGAAGAAACAGGACAGUACCUGACUAAGAAGCCCCGGCUAACUACGUGCCAGCAGCCGCGGUAAUACGUAGGGGGCAAGCGUUAUCCGGAUUUACUGGGUGUAAAGGGUGCGUAGGUGGCAGGGCAAGUCAGAUGUGAAAGCCCGGGGCUCAACCCCGGUACUGCAUUUGAAACUGUCCAGCUGGAGUGCAGGAG
This 305-nucleotide ribosomal RNA is filed under the name uncultured bacterium. Its description in RNAcentral is "bacterial SSU rRNA". It matches the Rfam family "Bacterial small subunit ribosomal RNA", at positions 331 to 654 of the family's 1533-position model. The record is from RNAcentral.